AGUGAACGCUGGCGGUAGGCCUAACACAUGCAAGUCGAACGGCAGCACAGUAAGAGCUUGCUCUUACGGGAGGCGAGUGGCGGACGGGUGAGGAAUACAUCGGAAUCUACUUUUUCGUGGGGGAUAACGUAGGGAAACUUACGCUAAUACCGCAUACGACCUACGGGUGAAAGCAGGGGAUCUUCGGACCUUGCGCGAUUGAAUGAGCCGAUGUCGGAUUAGCUAGCUGGCGGGGUAAAGGCCCACCAAGGCGACGAUCCGUAGCUGGUCUGAGAGGAUGAUCAGCCACACUGGAACUGAGACACGGUCCAGACUCCUACGGGAGGCAACAGUGGGGAAUAUUGGACAAUGGACGCAAGCCUGAUCCAGCCAUACCGCGUGGGUGAAGAGGGCCUUCGGGUUGUAAAGCCCUUUUGUUGGGAAAGAAAAGCAGCAGGUUAAUACCCCGCUAUUCUGACGGUACCCAAAGAAUAAGCACCGGCUAACUUCGUG
Molecule: ribosomal RNA, 492 nt
Filed under: uncultured bacterium
Lineage: Bacteria
Description: partial 16S ribosomal RNA
Rfam family: Bacterial small subunit ribosomal RNA
Source: RNAcentral